AUGAUCUCUGGAACCUUCCAGAACCUUCCGGAACCUUUCCCAGAUCCCCAUGGAACCUUCCAGAACCAUCAUAGAUUCCACUGGAACUUUCCAGAACCUUCCAGAACCUUUCCCAGAUCCCCACAGAUCCUUCCAGAACCAUCCCAGAUCCCACUGGAACUUUCCAGAACCUUCCAGAACCUUCCCAGAUUCCUCCAGGAGCCCCCAAAUCCCCCCAGGACCCCUCCCCCAACAUUCCCGGCCAGUUUUUGGUGGGGGGAUUUUAGGGAAGGAUUUUGGAGGUUUUUUUUGGGUAUUUUGAGGAAGGAUUUGGGGGAUUUUGGGGAAGGAUUUUGGAGGAUUUUGGGAGUUUUCUGGGGGAUUUCGAGGAAGGUUUUUGGGGGAUUUUGGGGAA
RNAcentral lists this long non-coding RNA (394 nucleotides) under Zonotrichia albicollis (white-throated sparrow). Its description in RNAcentral is "lncRNA (ENSZALG00000000395.1)". The record is from RNAcentral. Lineage: Eukaryota; Metazoa; Chordata; Aves; Passeriformes; Passerellidae.